RNAcentral lists this ribosomal RNA (253 nucleotides) under uncultured bacterium. RNAcentral describes it as "partial 16S ribosomal RNA". It matches the Rfam family "Bacterial small subunit ribosomal RNA", at positions 524 to 776 of the family's 1533-position model. The record is from RNAcentral.
UACGUAGGUGACAAGCGUUGUCCGGAUUUACUGGGCGUAAAGAGCGCGCAGGCGGUCGUUCAAGUCGAGUGUGAAAGCCCCGGGCUUAACUUGGGAAUUGCGCUCGAAACUACUUUGCUGGAGUGUGGCAGAGGAAGGUGGAAUUCCACGUGUAGCGGUGAAAUGCGUAGAGAUGUGGAGGAACACCAAUGGCGAAGGCAGCCUUCUGGGCCAACACUGACGCUCAUGCACGAAAGCGUGGGGAGCAAACAGG